UUAAGGAAGUACACCACUAAUUCAUGGUCCCAUUGCUUUCUAUGUUAAAUUCCUUCGUUUCAAGCAGGCACACCUCUUUUGUUUUAAGUUCAAAUAAAGUGGCAAUCAUUGCAUUGCAAAGCAACACUUUAUGGUGUCUUGUACUGACAAAAUCAACAUACCUUUAAUUGCAUAUAAGAAAGAACUGGUUCCCAGAACUUCGGAUGUACCCAAACAUGUACUUCAGAUCUGACAAACAGGCAAAAUGUACCCUCUUUUAAAAUUUUG
This 267-nucleotide long non-coding RNA is filed under the name Mytilus galloprovincialis (Mediterranean mussel). The record is from RNAcentral. Lineage: Eukaryota; Metazoa; Mollusca; Bivalvia; Mytilida; Mytilidae.